AGCAGUCAGAAAUGAACUUGCUCAUAAAAGUACAGUAGCAGUGAGCAGUAAGUCUGUAAUUUUAUGUAUGAGCUGGUUUCUGACUAAA
Molecule: non-coding RNA, 88 nt
Organism: Rattus norvegicus (Norway rat)
Lineage: Eukaryota; Metazoa; Chordata; Mammalia; Rodentia; Muridae
Source: Rfam